This 738-nucleotide ribosomal RNA is filed under the name Polyporus tricholoma. RNAcentral's name for it is "eukaryotic LSU rRNA". It matches the Rfam family "Eukaryotic large subunit ribosomal RNA", at positions 142 to 869 of the family's 3401-position model. The record is from RNAcentral. Lineage: Eukaryota; Fungi; Basidiomycota; Agaricomycetes; Polyporales; Polyporaceae.
GUUGUAGUCUGGAGAAGUGCUUUCCGCGCUGGACCGUGUAUAAGUCUCUUGGAACAGAGCGUCAUAGAGGGUGAGAAUCCCGUCUUUGACACGGACUACCAGUGCUUUGUGAUGCGCUCUCAAAGAGUCGAGUUGUUUGGGAAUGCAGCUCAAAAUGGGUGGUAAAUUCCAUCUAAAGCUAAAUAUUGGCGAGAGACCGAUAGCGAACAAGUACCGUGAGGGAAAGAUGAAAAGCACUUUGGAAAGAGAGUUAAACAGUACGUGAAAUUGCUGAAAGGGAAACGCUUGAAGUCAGUCGCGUCUGCCGGAACUCAGCCUUCCUUUUGGUUGGUGCACUUUCCGGUAGACGGGCCAGCAUCGAUUUCGACCGUUGGAUAAGGGCUGAAGAAAUGUGGCACCUUCGGGUGUGUUAUAGUCUUCAGUCGCAUACAGCGGUUGGGAUCGAGGAACGCAGCGCGCCGUAAGGCAGGGCUUAGGCCACUAUCGCGCUUAGGAUGCUGGCAUAAUGGCUUUAAACGACCCGUCUUGAAACACGGACCAAGGAGUCUAACAAACCUGCGAGUGUUUGGGUGGAAAACCCGAGCGCGUAAUGAAAGUGAAAGUUGAGACCUCUGUCGUGGAGGGCAUCGACGCCCGGACCUGACGUUUACUGACGGAUCCGCGGUAGAGCAUGUUUGUUGGGACCCGAAAGAUGGUGAACUAUGCCUGAAUAGGGUGAAGCCAGAGGAAACUCUGGUG